Molecule: long non-coding RNA, 1292 nt
Filed under: Bemisia tabaci
Lineage: Eukaryota; Metazoa; Arthropoda; Insecta; Hemiptera; Aleyrodidae
Description: lncRNA ENSSSA2NGG000888
Source: RNAcentral
UUUGUGCAGUAUCCUGUAUUUGAAUUUUUUUUCUCUUUUAUUCCUACAGUUUUCAGUCCAGAGUCAUGCUCUAAGUCAUUUGCAAGCAUUUCAUUUUAUUUGCGGCAAAAUCUGCAGCAAUUCCUGCAUCCACCAAAAUAUGUAGAUCCCAAACCGGCAAAUCAUUUUCAGGACUAUUCUCAAGCAGAGGAUUCACUCAAGCGGGUGAAAGAGUCAGAGAUUUUCCUGUAUAAUCAGAGUCCAGCAUCAGGAAAUAAAGGCAUUGCAUGCAUUGCUUUGGCUCUUGUUGAUCGGGAAAACGCACUGAUUGAACAUUCAAACUACCCAAAACUCAAUCCUGAUAGUUACCGAGAAGACCCUUUGACUGUACAACAGUUUGAAGCUUUGACUGCAACCAACCUUUAUGAGCCCAACCCAACUUUAUCAGCUCCAGGGCCUGAAGCUCUCAUUGAGUUCCGAAUUUGGAAACAAGGACGCGUCAAUUUGGAAACCCUAUGUCAGAAGCUGAAAGGUAGCGUUCGUCACUCCCUGUGGGACUUGCUCAUGGAGUUGAAAUUAUUAACGGCCCCCUUAACGGAGCACGAUAGAGACGACGGUGUCCAUGGUCAGCUCCUGGAUGUGCACAGUCAAUUAAUGCCGCAAUGGAUGCAAUUUGCAUCCGACUUAGGUGUACCGUCAGUUCUUGUCAACACUGUAACUUUAAGUGCUCGACAUCCUAUUGGCAUAACAGUGAAAGAAUUGAAUCAAAUCAUCGCUUUCCAUGAUAUCGAGGGAUUUUUAUUCUACGAAUCAGAUUCUUCUGGAGUGCACAAAUCUUUUGAGAGAAGCUCCAACAUCGAAUUAUCUUCUUGCAGAUCCUGCCUUCUCAUUGGUAGAAAUUUGGUUCAAUGGAAAUCCUGCCUUUCUACCGACGAGAACUUCCACAUUGAUAAGUUAGAUCCGAAAGCUUUAAAAGUACUCCAAAAGUUUGCACCACUUCUGAGGAAAACUGAUGAUGGCUCUUACCAAUUUGUGUCACGGCAGCGGUAUCUAUUGAUCAGUGUGACAAAUCAAAAGGUAUGGUGUGAAGAGUCUUUGAGUUCCUGAUCCACUGUUUUUAAAAAGCAGACACUUUCUGUAGCAUAAUUAGAAAACGGAAAAUCUAGUAUUUCAAUGGAGAAUUUGCACACAAAAAUUUUAUUGCUUCAUCUGAAAGUGCGUAAUAAGCUGAGUUCGCAGUAUUUUUCAUAAUUUUUUCUGGCAUGGGAAAUCGGAGAAAAUUGAUUUAAAAGUGAGAAAACAUGCUGCCUUAU